GGUAGUUGCUCAGGAUGUCAGAUGUCAUUUUUGGUGAGUUCAUGGAUGAUUAUUCAUUUACAGAUGAAUCCUGAGAGGGGAGGUAGGCCUCCUAGUGAUAGUAUGAUUGUUAGGAUUAGUGAGGUAAUUAGUGGGAGUUUGUUUCAUAUAUGAGAUAGCAAUAGUGUGGUUGUAGAUGAAUUGAGU
This is a long non-coding RNA of Lutra lutra (Eurasian river otter), 186 nucleotides long. RefSeq lists it as uncharacterized. The record is from RefSeq and is a predicted model, not a curated record. The transcript is spliced from 3 exons. Lineage: Eukaryota; Metazoa; Chordata; Mammalia; Carnivora; Mustelidae.